This 460-nucleotide ribosomal RNA is filed under the name uncultured bacterium. RNAcentral describes it as "partial 16S ribosomal RNA". It matches the Rfam family "Bacterial small subunit ribosomal RNA", at positions 338 to 795 of the family's 1533-position model. The record is from RNAcentral.
CCUACGGGUGGCUGCAGUGAGGAAUAUUGGUCAAUGGACGAGAGUCUGAACCAGCCAAGUAGCGUGAAGGAUGACUGCCCUAUGGGUUGUAAACUUCUUUUAUAUGGGAAUAAAACGUUCCACGUGUGGGAUUUUGUAUGUACCAUAUGAAUAAGGAUCGGCUAACUCCGUGCCAGCAGCCGCGGUAAUACGGAGGAUCCGAGCGUUAUCCGGAUUUAUUGGGUUUAAAGGGAGCGUAGGUGGAUUGUUAAGUCAGUUGUGAAAGUUUGCGGCUCAACAGUAAAAUUGCAGUUGAAACUGGCAGUCUUGAGUACAGUAGAGGUGGGCGGAAUUCGUGGUGUAGCGGUGAAAUGCUUAGAUAUCACGAAGAACUCCGAUUGCGAAGGCAGUUCACUGGACUGCAACUGACACUGAGGCUCGAAAGUGUGGGUAUCAAACAGGAUUAGAUACCCUUGUAGUC